UGGCUAUGAGGAUAAAAUUUCUUGUAAAUGAAAUUGUAUGAUUAACUUAUACGCUAUUCUGAGCCAUUG
Conger conger (European conger) is the source of this 69-nucleotide small nucleolar RNA. RefSeq annotates it as small nucleolar RNA U54. The record is from RefSeq and is a predicted model, not a curated record. Lineage: Eukaryota; Metazoa; Chordata; Actinopteri; Anguilliformes; Congridae. The transcript has a single exon.